This 248-nucleotide ribosomal RNA is filed under the name uncultured Muribaculaceae bacterium. Its description in RNAcentral is "partial 16S ribosomal RNA". It matches the Rfam family "Bacterial small subunit ribosomal RNA", at positions 524 to 772 of the family's 1533-position model. Lineage: Bacteria; Pseudomonadati; Bacteroidota; Bacteroidia; Bacteroidales; Muribaculaceae. The record is from RNAcentral.
UACGGAGGAUGCGAGCGUUAUCCGGAUUUAUUGGGUUUAAAGGGUGCGUAGGCGGCGGUGCAAGUCAGCGGUAAAAGCCCGGGGCUCAACCCCGGCGAGCCGUUGAAACUGCAGUGCUAGAGAAGGCGAGAGGUACGCGGAAUGCGCAGUGUAGCGGUGAAAUGCUUAGAUAUUGCGCAGAACUCCGAUUGCGAAGGCAGCGUACUGGCGCCUGACUGACGCUGAGGCACGAAAGCGUGGGGAUCGAA